UACGUAGGGUGCAGGCGUUAAUCGGAAUUACUGGGCGUAAAGCGUGCGCAGGCGGUUUGCUAAGACAGGUGUGAAAUCCCCGGGCUUAACCUGGGAACCGCAUUUGUGACUGCAUAGCUGGAGUACGGCAGAGGGGGAUGGAAUUCCGCGUGUAGCAGUGAAAUGCGUAGAUAUGCGGAGGAACACCGAUGGCGAAGGCAGUCCCCUGGGCCUGUACUGACGCUCAUGCACGAAAGCGUGGGGAGCAAACAGG
This 253-nucleotide ribosomal RNA is filed under the name uncultured bacterium. Its description in RNAcentral is "partial 16S ribosomal RNA". It matches the Rfam family "Bacterial small subunit ribosomal RNA", at positions 524 to 776 of the family's 1533-position model. The record is from RNAcentral.